AGAGUUUGAUCCUGGCUCAGGAUGAACGCUGGCGGCGUGCUUAACACAUGCAAGUCGAACGAUCCUUCGGGAUAGUGGCGGACGGGUGAGUAACGCGUGGGAAUCUGCCCUCAGGAGGGGGAUAACGGCUGGAAACGGCCGCUAAUACCCCAUAUGCCGAGAGGUGAAAUGAAUUUCGCCUGAGGAUGAGCCCGCGUCUGAUUAGCUAGUUGGUGGGGUAAAGGCCUACCAAGGCAACGAUCAGUAGCUGGUCUGAGAGGAUGAUCAGCCACACUGGGACUGAGACACGGCCCAGACUCCUACGGGAGGCAGCAGUGGGGAAUUUUCCGCAAUGGGCGAAAGCCUGACGGAGCAACGCCGCGUGAGGGAUGAAGGCCUCUGGGCUGUAAACCUCUUUUCUCAAGGAAGAAGACCUGACGGUACUUGAGGAAUAAGCCACGGCUAAUUCCGUGCCAGCAGCCGCGGUAAUACGGGAGUGGCAAGCGUUAUCCGGAAUUAUUGGGCGUAAAGCGUCCGCAGGCGGCCUUGUAAGUCUGUUGUUAAAGCGUGGAGCUCAACUCCAUUUAAGCAAUGGAAACUACAAGGCUGGAGUGUGGUAGGGGCAGAGGGAAUUCCCGGUGUAGCGGUGAAAUGCGUAGAUAUCGGGAAGAACACCAGUGGCGAAGGCGCUCUGCUGGGCCAUAACUGACGCUCAUGGACGAAAGCCAGGGGAGCGAAAGGGAUUAGAUACCCCUGUAGUCCUGGCCGUAAACGAUGAACACUAGGUGUCGGGGGAAUCGACCCCCUCGGUGUCGUAGCCAACGCGUUAAGUGUUCCGCCUGGGGAGUACGCACGUAAGUGUGAAACUCAAAGGAAUUGACGGGGGCCCGCACAAGCGGUGGAGUAUGUGGUUUAAUUCGAUGCAACGCGAAGAACCUUACCAGGGUUUGACAUCCUGCGAACCCCUGAGAAAUCGGGGGGUGCCUUCGGGAGCGCAGAGACAGGUGGUGCAUGGCUGUCGUCAGCUCGUGUCGUGAGAUGUUGGGUUAAGUCCCGCAACGAGCGCAACCCACGUCUUUAGUUGCCAGCAUUCAGUUGGGCACUCUAGAGAGACCGCCGGUGAUAAACCGGAGGAAGGUGUGGAUGACGUCAAGUCAUCAUGCCCCUUACAUCCUGGGCUACACACGUACUACAAUGCUACGGACAAAGGGCAGCAAGCUCGCGAGAGUUAGCAAAUCCCAAAAACCGUGGCUCAGUUCAGAUCGUAGGCUGCAACUCGCCUACGUGAAGGAGGAAUCGCUAGUAAUCGCAGGUCAGCAUACUGCGGUGAAUACGUUCCCGGGCCUUGUACACACCGCCCGUCACACCAUGGAAGUUGGCCAUGCCCGAAGUCGUUACUCCAACCCUUGUGGAGGAGGACGCCGAAGGUGGGGCUGAUGACUGGGGUGAAGUCGUAACAAGGUA
Molecule: ribosomal RNA, 1443 nt
Filed under: metagenome
Description: bacterial SSU rRNA
Rfam family: Bacterial small subunit ribosomal RNA
Source: RNAcentral